RNAcentral lists this ribosomal RNA (207 nucleotides) under uncultured bacterium. RNAcentral describes it as "partial 16S ribosomal RNA". It matches the Rfam family "Bacterial small subunit ribosomal RNA", at positions 568 to 774 of the family's 1533-position model. The record is from RNAcentral.
UGCGUAGGCGGUUUGGUAAGUCAGAUGUGAAAUUCCUGGGCUCAACCGAGGAACUGCAUUUGAUACUGCCAGACUAGAGUACUGGAGAGGAGACUGGAAUUUACGGUGUAGCAGUGAAAUGCGUAGAUAUCGUAAGGAAGGCCAGUGGCGAAGGCGAGUCUCUGGACAGUAACUGACGCUGAGGCACGAGGGCUAGGGGAGCAAACG